UACGAAGGGGGCUAGCGUUGCUCGGAAUUACUGGGCGUAAAGCGCACGUAGGCGGCUCUUUAAGUCGGGGGUGAAAUCCUGGAGCUCAACUCCAGAACUGCCUUCGAUACUGAAGAGCUCGAGUCCGGGAGAGGUGAGUGGAACUGCGAGUGUAGAGGUGAAAUUCGUAGAUAUUCGCAAGAACACCAGUGGCGAUGGCGGCUCACUGGCCCGGUACUGACGCUGAGGUGCGAAAGCGUGGGGAGCAAACAGG
This 253-nucleotide ribosomal RNA is filed under the name uncultured bacterium. RNAcentral describes it as "partial 16S ribosomal RNA". It matches the Rfam family "Bacterial small subunit ribosomal RNA", at positions 524 to 776 of the family's 1533-position model. The record is from RNAcentral.